UGUUGCUUCAUAUGAUCUAAAGUACU
This 26-nucleotide microRNA is filed under the name Parasteatoda tepidariorum (common house spider). Its description in RNAcentral is "pte-miR-11939-5p". The record is from miRBase by way of RNAcentral. Lineage: Eukaryota; Metazoa; Arthropoda; Arachnida; Araneae; Theridiidae.